UGUGUCUAAACUGGUCGUUUGCAUAAAUGCGCCGUCAGUUUGAUUAGCGAUGUUUUGAUAAACAAACAGUAACACAUUUAACAAGCAAGCAACAGUGGCAGUGAAACCCAUUAUAGACAUGGUUUCAAAAGGUGCAAACGCGAUGAUUUUCACGCUACUGCUGUGUCUUCAAGUGGCCACCAUCCAGGGUUUUGCUUGUCCAUCGAACUUCUGUGAUGAACAUCCUUGUGUAAGCCAGACUUCUUGUCCGGAAAAUCACACGCUUUCCCAGACGUUUUGUGGCUGUUGCAUGCGGUGUAUUCCAGUGAUUUCUGAAGGUGAACUUUGCUUUGACCAGCUUCGUGGCGUUCCAGCUGGAGCCGUUUGUGCAGAUGGGCUGAUUUGUUGCGACAGCAUCUGCUCAACUCCAGCCAAUUGCACAAGCCAGUUUCACCGAGUUGAAUAUUAAAUUGAAAUUGUUACGUU
Molecule: long non-coding RNA, 465 nt
Organism: Dendroctonus ponderosae (mountain pine beetle)
Lineage: Eukaryota; Metazoa; Arthropoda; Insecta; Coleoptera; Curculionidae
Exons: 2
Source: RefSeq, a predicted model, not a curated record